GAUGAACGCUGGCGGCGUGCCUAAUACAUGCAAGUCGAGCGAACGGACGCGAAGCUUGCUUCUCUGUUGUUAGCGGCGGAGGGGUGAGUCACGCGUGGAUCCCCUACCUAUCAGACUGGGAUCACUUCGGAACACCGGCGCUAACCCCGGAUAAUAUUUUGCACCGCAUGGUUCAAAAGUGAAAGACGGUCUUGCUGUCACUUAUAGAUGGUUCCGCGCUGCAUUAGCUAGUUGGUACGGUCACGGCUUUCCAAGGCAACGAUGCAUGGCCGACCUGAGAGGGGGAUAGGCCACACGGGAACUGAGACACGGUCCAGACUCCUACGGGAGGCAGCAGUAGGGAAUCUUACGCAAUGGGCGAAAGCCUGACGGAGCAACGCCGCGUGAGUGAUGAAGGUCUUCGGAGCGUAAAACUCUGUUAUGAGGUAAGAACAGAUGUGUACUGAACUGUGCACAGCUUGACGGUACCGAAUCAGAAAGCAACGGCUAACUACGUG
RNAcentral lists this ribosomal RNA (497 nucleotides) under uncultured bacterium. RNAcentral's name for it is "partial 16S ribosomal RNA". It matches the Rfam family "Bacterial small subunit ribosomal RNA", at positions 28 to 507 of the family's 1533-position model. The record is from RNAcentral.